Rosa rugosa (rugosa rose) is the source of this 579-nucleotide long non-coding RNA. RefSeq lists it as uncharacterized. NCBI's taxonomy places the organism in Eukaryota, Viridiplantae, Streptophyta, Magnoliopsida, Rosales, Rosaceae. The transcript has 2 exons. The record is from RefSeq and is a predicted model, not a curated record.
GAAGUCAAAGCUGCCAAAUCGGGACAGACCCGACCUCCCCCUCCUAUUUUCUUCUUCUUUCGCCGUUUUUGGUUUUCCGGCGAUUUUGUCGCCGUCCGGCCACCCCAGGACGAACCACUCGGCAUGGCAUGAUCCUCUCCUCCUUCUCUACCUAGUCAUCUUUUUUUGGCCGGUGAAGGAAGAAUUGAAGGUGAUUGAAGGCGUGAACAGUAGCAUGAACAGUAACUGACGAGUUCUUAGUUUUGUUUUGAUCUUUCCGGCCAAAUUGUUGGGUUUUGUUGGUUGUUGCAGGUACAGAAACUGUUAGGUGUGUUGUGGAGAUGAGUUUGAGCUUGUUAGGUUGGCCGGAUUUGGGGUUUGGUGUGGUGGCGAGUGUAACCACGCGCCACUGCUGGUGGUGGUGGUGAGGAGGCUCUGCCAGCCCUCCAAAACCCAUUAAUUGAAUCUUUGAGUUAUGUUUUAGAUUUGAGGAUAUUUGGGUAUUGAGACUUUUUGGAAUUUUAUGUUGGGUAUGGUUGUUUUGAAUAUUAUGGUAUAAAUUUUAUGGGGUAAAUCUCUUGGUAAAAUGCUAUUGGUGAA